AUCCAGCUGACGAGUUCCAAAUAGGACGUAAGGCGUGUCCUGGAU
Non-coding RNA from Schistosoma curassoni, 45 nucleotides. The record is from Rfam. Lineage: Eukaryota; Metazoa; Platyhelminthes; Trematoda; Strigeidida; Schistosomatidae.